RNAcentral lists this ribosomal RNA (273 nucleotides) under uncultured Lachnospiraceae bacterium. Its description in RNAcentral is "partial 16S ribosomal RNA". It matches the Rfam family "Bacterial small subunit ribosomal RNA", at positions 69 to 339 of the family's 1533-position model. Lineage: Bacteria; Bacillati; Bacillota; Clostridia; Lachnospirales; Lachnospiraceae. The record is from RNAcentral.
AUUCUUCGGAUGAUUUCCUAUUUGACUGAGCGGCGGACGGGUGAGUAACGCGUGGGUAACCUGCCUCAUACAGGGGGAUAACAGUUAGAAAUGACUGCUAAUACCGCAUAAGACCACAGCACUGCAUGGUGCAGGGGUAAAAACUCCGGUGGUAUGAGAUGGACCCGCGUCUGAUUAGUUAGUUGGUGGGGUAACGGCCUACCAAGGCGACGAUCAGUAGCCGGCCUGAGAGGGUGAACGGCCACAUUGGGACUGAGACACGGCCCAGACUCC